This 750-nucleotide ribosomal RNA is filed under the name uncultured marine bacterium. RNAcentral's name for it is "bacterial SSU rRNA". It matches the Rfam family "Bacterial small subunit ribosomal RNA", at positions 574 to 1324 of the family's 1533-position model. The record is from RNAcentral.
GGUGGUUGAAAAAGUUGGUGGUGAAAUCCCAGAGCUUAACUCUGGAACUGCCAUCAAAACCUUUUCAGCUAGAGUAUGAUAGAGGAAAGCAGAAUUUCUAGUGUAGAGGUGAAAUUCGUAGAUAUUAGAAAGAAUACCAAUUGCGAAGGCAGCUUUCUGGAUCAUUACUGACACUGAGGAACGAAAGCAUGGGUAGCGAAGAGGAUUAGAUACCCUCGUAGUCCAUGCCGUAAACGAUGUGUGUUAGACGUUGGAAAUUUAUUUUCAGUGUCGCAGGGAAACCGAUAAACACACCGCCUGGGGAGUACGACCGCAAGGUUAAAACUCAAAUGAAUUGACGGGGACCCGCACAAGUAGUGGAGCAUGUGGUUUAAUUCGAAGAUACGCGCAGAACCUUACCAACACUUGACAUGUUCGUCGCGACUCUAAGAGAUUAGGGUUUUCGGUUCGGCCGGACGAAACACAGGUGCUGCAUGGCUGUCGUCAGCUCGUGUCGUGAGAUGUUGGGUUAAGUCCCGCAACGAGCGCAACCCUCACUUUUAGUUGCCAUCAUUAAGUUGGGCACUCUGAAAGAACUGCCAGUGAUAAGCUGGAGGAAGGUGGGGAUGACGUCAAGUCCUCAUGGCCCUUACGUGUUGGGCUACACACGUGCUACAAUGGCAUCUACAACAGGAAGCAAAACGGCAACGUUAAGCAAAUCCCGAAAAGAUGCCUCAGUUCGGAUUGCACUCUGCAACUCGAGUGCAUGAA